AACGAACGCUGGCGGCAGGCCUAACACAUGCAAGUCGAACGAGAAGCCACCUUCGGGUGGUGGACAGUGGCAGACGGGUGAGUAACGCGUGGGAACGUGCCUUUCGGUUCGGGAUAACCCAGGGAAACUUGGGCUAAUACCGGAUACGCCUCCGGGGAAGGAUUCAUUGCCGAAAGAUCGGCCCGCGUCGGAUUAGCUAGUUGGUAGGGGGU
RNAcentral lists this ribosomal RNA (212 nucleotides) under uncultured bacterium. RNAcentral describes it as "partial 16S ribosomal RNA". It matches the Rfam family "Bacterial small subunit ribosomal RNA", at positions 29 to 260 of the family's 1533-position model. The record is from RNAcentral.